RNAcentral lists this ribosomal RNA (497 nucleotides) under uncultured bacterium. RNAcentral's name for it is "partial 16S ribosomal RNA". It matches the Rfam family "Bacterial small subunit ribosomal RNA", at positions 28 to 507 of the family's 1533-position model. The record is from RNAcentral.
GAUGAACGCUGGCGGCGUGCCUAAUACUUGCAAGUCGAGCGAACGGACGAGAAGCUUGCUUCUCUGAUGUUAGCGGCGGACGGGUGAGUAACACGUGGAUAACCUACCUAUAAGACUGGGAUAACUUCGGGAAACCGGAGCUAAUACCGGAUAAUAUUUUGAACCGCAUGGUUCAAAAGUGAAAGACGGUCUUGCUGUCACUUAUAGAUGGAUCCGCGCUGCAUUAGCUAGUUGGUAAGGUAACGGCUUACCAAGGCAACGAUGCAUAGCCGACCUGAGAGGGUGAUCGGCCACACUGGAACUGAGACACGGUCCAGACUCCUACGGGAGGCAGCAGUAGGGAAUCUUCCGCAAUGGGCGAAAGCCUGACGGAGCAACGCCGCGUGAGUGAUGAAGGUCUUCGGAUCGUAAAACUCUGUUAUUAGGGAAGAACAUAUGUGUAAGUAACUGUGCACAUCUUGACGGUACCUAAUCAGAAAGCCACGGCUAACUACGUG